GACGAACGCUGGCGGCGUGCCUAAUACAUGCAAGUAGAACGCUGAAGGAGGAGCUUGCUUCUCUGGAUGAGUUGCGAACGGGUGAGUAACGCGUAGGUAACCUGCCUGGGAGCGGGGGAUAACUAUUGGAAACGAUAGCUAAUACCGCAUAAGAGUAGAUGUCGCAUGACAUUUGCUUAAAAGGUGCAAUUGCAUCACUACCAGAUGGACCUGCGUUGUAUUGGCUUGUGGGUGAGGUAACGGCUCACCAAGGCAAAGAUACAUAGCCGACCUGAGAGGGGGGGCGGCCGCACUGGGACUGUGACCCGCCCCAGUGUCCUACGGGAGGCAGCAGUAGGGAAUCGUGGGCAAUCGACGGAAGUCUGACCGCGCAACGCCGCGGGAGUGUAGAAGGUUGUCGGAUCGUAAAGCUCUGUUGUAAGAGAAGAACGAGUGUGAGAGUGGAAAGUUCACACUGUGACGGUAUCUGACCAGAAAGGGACGGCUAACUACGUG
This 495-nucleotide ribosomal RNA is filed under the name uncultured bacterium. RNAcentral describes it as "partial 16S ribosomal RNA". It matches the Rfam family "Bacterial small subunit ribosomal RNA", at positions 28 to 507 of the family's 1533-position model. The record is from RNAcentral.